GCUUCCCUAUCAGCUUUGGAGUCUUGUUAUUCCUGGCCAUUCUCUAUGAGGUUGGAGUUCUUUCCUGACCACAUUCCAUGGCUUUAUGUGAUGAAAUAAUGUUGCCUGAGCUUCAGGCAACCCUGUCCACCCUGUCUUCAUACAGACCCUCCAGGAUCACAGAAGUUCUCGGCCCCCACGCCCCCUGCUCUGCUGGCCUUUGAGAGCACAGCAGCCAGCCACCUGGGAUGGCAGGCAGGCCUUGGACUCACUGCCUUUCAGUACAGAUCCUCUCUCUCCAAAAAGUAAACACGAACAGAGCAGUGCACUGCGCCUGUGUCUGCCUGGGAAGCAUGUUAGGUCCAUCCGUUCAGCAUCCCAACCCUAUGAAACUGCUCUGGCCCCACGGAUGGGAAAGCUCAGGUGAAGAUGGCUCAGGGAGCAGCGCAACAAUGGGAGGAGGCAGUGUUAGUGGUGAGCUGAGAUUGUCCCCCAGUCGCAGCCAUAAAUCACCCCUGGGUAAUUCGGUCUGAGCCCGUGAGCCUGAGGAAUUCUCCUUUACCUCCCUAUGCGCUGGGGGAUCGAUCGUGGUUUUCUAACUUGCAGAUUUGAAUGACAAGGUUGAAAACGAUCAACGUGAAGAGUCUAGCACAGUGCCUGGUUCAUUUUAGCUGCUUAAAUAAAUGUUAUUGGCAUCAGCAAUA
Long non-coding RNA from Eptesicus fuscus (big brown bat), 683 nucleotides. RefSeq lists it as uncharacterized. The transcript has 3 exons. Lineage: Eukaryota; Metazoa; Chordata; Mammalia; Chiroptera; Vespertilionidae. The record is from RefSeq and is a predicted model, not a curated record.